RNAcentral lists this unclassified non-coding RNA (604 nucleotides) under Schistocerca americana (American grasshopper). RNAcentral describes it as "sulfated surface glycoprotein 185-like, transcript variant X2". Lineage: Eukaryota; Metazoa; Arthropoda; Insecta; Orthoptera; Acrididae. The record is from RNAcentral.
ACAUUAAUACAGUUAGUUCGCGUUCGUACAAGCAGAAAGGGUUUAGUCUUGUUUGUGAAGAUCGCAUCCGAUUCGCGCUUGUAGUUCGGCAACGAAACAUCGAUACACUCCAUAAUCGAUACCUUGAGGCUUGAACUAUUCAAGAAGUUCCCGUGAGUGUCUACGAGAUGGCAUCAACCGCAUCAGAAACUGUUGCGAUUUACAAAAAAUUUAAAGAAUUACCCAUAUUCGUAACAGAAAACCAUAAUGAGUCAACUUCGAUGAAGAUGUAACACCCAUCCACACAAUUGUGUGGAUGGGUAUUGUUGAAGAAGAAGAAGAAGAAGAAGAAGCAAUAUCUACUGUGGAGUUCAUUGGAGGUGGUGUGGGGUCCUACAGCCCAGGAUGCUGAGGAUGAAGAGGAGGAAGAGAUGGAGGCGGCCACUGAAUCUAUACCAGACAGCCCAGCGUCGCCAUCACCGCCUCCACCACCGCAGAACCCACCACCACCACCACCACCACCACCACCACCAAGGUGGCGCAUACUCCCUGAGGAGUAUGUAGAUGAAGGCAAUGAUGUUGAUGUUAUAUUCUCAUACGAAAUAAUAAAUAUCGAUUAAAAGGA